RNAcentral lists this ribosomal RNA (253 nucleotides) under uncultured microorganism. Its description in RNAcentral is "partial 16S ribosomal RNA". It matches the Rfam family "Bacterial small subunit ribosomal RNA", at positions 524 to 776 of the family's 1533-position model. The record is from RNAcentral.
UACGGAGGGUGCGAGCGUUAUUCGGAAGCACUGGGCGUAAAGGGCGCGUAGGCGGCCUGGUAAGUCAGGGGUGAAAUCCCACGGCUCAACCGUGGAAUUGCCUUUGAAACUGCUGGGCUUGGAUCCUGGAGAGGGUGGCGGAAUUCCUGGUGUAGGAGUGAAAUCCGUAGAUAUCAGGAGGAACACCGGUGGCGAAGGCGGCCACCUGGACAGGUAUCGACGCUGAGGCGCGAAAGUGUGGGGAGCAAACAGG